RNAcentral lists this ribosomal RNA (524 nucleotides) under uncultured bacterium. Its description in RNAcentral is "partial 16S ribosomal RNA". It matches the Rfam family "Bacterial small subunit ribosomal RNA", at positions 28 to 523 of the family's 1533-position model. The record is from RNAcentral.
GACGAACGCUGGCGGCGUGCCUAAUACAUGCAAGUCGAACGAAGCUGUUUUAACUGGUGCUUGCACCGACUUAAACAACUGAGUGGCGAACGGGUGAGUAACACGUGGGUAACCUGCCCCAAAGCGGGGGAUAACAUUUGGAAACAGAUGCUAAUACCGCAUAACCACAGAAACCACAUGGUUUCUGUGUCAAAGAUGGUUUCGGCUAUCACUUUGGGAUGGACCCGCGGCGUAUUAGCUAGUUGGUAAGGUAAUGGCUUACCAAGGCAAUGAUACGUAGCCGAACUGGGAGGUUGAUCGGCCACAUUGGGACUGGGACACGGCCCAAACUCCUACGGGAGGCAGCAGUAGGGAAUCUUCCACAAUGGACGAAAGUCUGAUGGAGCAACGCCGCGUGAGUGAAGAAGGUUUUCGGAUCGUAAAACUCUGUUGUCAGAGAAGAACGUGUGCGAGAGUAACUGCUCGUGCAGUGACGGUAUCUGGCCAGAAAGCCACGGCUAACUACGUGCCAGCCGCCGCGGUAA